Molecule: ribosomal RNA, 450 nt
Filed under: uncultured bacterium
Lineage: Bacteria
Description: partial 16S ribosomal RNA
Rfam family: Bacterial small subunit ribosomal RNA
Source: RNAcentral
GUGGGGAAUAUUGGACAAUGGGCGAAAGCCUGAUCCAGCCAUGCCGCGUGUGUGAAGAAGGUCUUCGGAUUGUAAAGCACUUUAAGUUGGGAGGAAGGGCAGUAAGUCAAUACCUUGCUGUUUUGACGUUACCGACAGAAUAAGCACCGGCUAACUUCGUGCCAGCAGCCGCGGUAAUACGAAGGGUGCAAGCGUUAAUCGGAAUUACUGGGCGUAAAGCGCGCGUAGGUGGUUUUGUAAGUUGGAGGUGAAAUCCCCGUGCUCAACCUGGGAACUGCCUCCAAAACUGCAUGACUAGAGUACGGUAGAGGGUAGUGGAAUUUCCUGUGUAGCGGUGAAAUGCGUAGAUAUAGGAAGGAACACCAGUGGCGAAGGCGACUACCUGGACUGAUACUGACACUGAGGUGCGAAAGCGUGGGGAGCAAACAGGAUUAGAAACCCGAGUAGUCC